Molecule: ribosomal RNA, 488 nt
Filed under: uncultured bacterium
Lineage: Bacteria
Description: partial 16S ribosomal RNA
Rfam family: Bacterial small subunit ribosomal RNA
Source: RNAcentral
AUUGAACGCUGGCGGCAUGCUUUACACAUGCAAGUCGAACGGCAGCACAGGGAGCUUGCUCCUGGGUGGCGAGUGGCGAACGGGUGAGUAAUGUAUCGGAACGUGCCUGGUAGUGGGGGAUAACUACUCGAAAGAGUGGCUAAUACCGCAUGAGAUCUUUGGAGGAAAGCGGGGGACCUUCGGGCCUCGUGCUACUGGAGCGGCCGAUAUCAGAUUAGGUUGUUGGUGGGGUAAAGGCCUACCAAGCCUGCGAUCUGUAGCUGGUCUGAGAGGACGACCAGCCACACUGGGACUGAGACACGGCCCAGACUCCUACGGGAGGCAGCAGUGGGGAAUUUUGGACAAUGGGCGCAAGCCUGAUCCAGCAAUGCCGCGUGCAGGACGAAGGCCUUCGGGUUGUAAACUGCUUUUGUACAGAACGAAAAGUCUCUGGCUAAUAUCUAGAGAUCAUGACGGUACUGUAAGAAUAAGCACCGGCUAACUACGUG